This is a long non-coding RNA of Cyprinus carpio (common carp), 1758 nucleotides long. The record is from Ensembl. Lineage: Eukaryota; Metazoa; Chordata; Actinopteri; Cypriniformes; Cyprinidae.
GUCUGUGUAUGUUUUUGCUCCCCAUGUCUUCUCCUUGACCCAAUUGCUACUUCAUGUGCCCUUAUUUGGUCGUUCAUGUUCUUGUCUCGUCUCUUAAUUAGUCAUUCUGUUCACCUGUGUUCCUCCCAAUUCAUUUGUUAUCCGGUGUAUUUAAGCCCCAGUCUGUUCAGUCUGUGUUUGUUGGGUCUACCAGUUGUGUGUCUUCCUUCCCUUCCAAGUGUGGCUUAACCCGUUAUGUUGAAUUUAAUAAAUUACAUUUUCAUUUAUCCACGGCUCCUUCGUUCCCUCCAGCAGCAUAUCGUGACAGAAGACCAACCUUCAAAAGUAACGUUAUUUGCAUUUUCAGCUUUGUAUGUUUUCUACUGUACAGUGUUUGUUUUCUUAUUUUCCCCAUGUUCUAUGGAUCCCCUCGCCUGCAAAGACCUUUCCCUAUUGGAGUAUGCAGUUGAGUUCAGCCAGCUUGCCAUUUUAACGGCAUUCGAUGCUGCGAUUGAACUCACUGUUCUGGAUUGGGACUACUACUAUUGUCCCGUCGACAUCCCAGUUACCGCUGGACUGAGCUGGAGGGAAGCCAUUAUCCGGUGUCUGGAGAGUGUCUAUCCCCGAUCACAAGCACAGCCAGACCCAGAGCCCAGCCCACCGUCUCCCUGCUGCACGGAGCACAAACCGGAGCCCACUGCUGAUAGAAAGCAAGAGCCCGUCGCGACCAACGAGCCAUCGCCAAGGAGUGUGACAGAGCUGAGGAGGAGCUCCGCCCCCUGCACCGUGGCUGAGGGUGAGCUAAUUACGGAUCUGGGACUGUGCAAUUCCAAAGCAGAAAGGGCUCCUGUUCCUGAGUUAAGCCCAGUGGCUCACAAAUGCCCGUACUCCUGCCUCCUCCACUGUUGUCUGGCAGCCCCUCUGUUUACCCUCAGCACACCAUCUGUACUGUGCGAGCUCCGCAGGUCUGCCAUCCUCCAUUGUCACCGUGGCUGGAGGAUCCCUGGUCUCCACCUCCAGCCUCGAUCCCAGAUUCUGUUUCCCCACCUCUUCCGCCUCAGUCGGUUGGCCCCCUGGAGUUGUCAGCCCUUCCUCCAUGGCUCCUCCCUCUGUCGGCUCCACUGUGGGUUGUCAUUAUGGCUGUGGCCUGAGUCCCACCUGGCACCCCAUGCUCCAAAUUCCUCCUGUCGUCUCCCUGGCUCCUCCCUCCUUAUCUGCCCUGGCUCUUCCUGUUUCCUGAUUGGCUCCUCCCUCCGUCGUCACCUCCCUGGACUCUUUCUGCCCAGCCCCCUCCCAGGUGUCCAUCCUCCUCCUGAUCCUUCCCCAGUUCCCACCCGUUCCCUCUCUCUGGUUUUACGGCACGAGGGCGCACCUCCCGGGAGGGGGGCAAUGUGUCAGGACCUGUCUGUGUGUCUUUGCUCCCCAUGUUCUCUCCUUGACCCAGUUUCUCCCUCAUGUGCCCUUAUUUGGUUGUUCCUGUCCUCAUUGUCUCAAUUAUUCAUUCUGUUCACCUGUGUUCCUCCCAAUUCCCUUGUUAUCCGGUGUAUUUAAGCCCCAGUCUGUUAAGUCUGUGUUGGUCGGGUCUUGUGUGUGUGUGUGUGUGUGUGUGUGUCUUCCUUCCCUUCCCUUCCCUUCCAAGUGUGGAUUUACCCUGUGUUGGAUUUAAUAAAUGACAGUUUUGUUUAUCCACGGCUCCUUCGUUUCUUCCGGCAGCGUCUCGUGAUAUAUUAUGGCACACUUAGUCAUCCAUAAGUAGAUGGUCCUUAGACUAGUGACAUA